This 460-nucleotide ribosomal RNA is filed under the name uncultured bacterium. Its description in RNAcentral is "partial 16S ribosomal RNA". It matches the Rfam family "Bacterial small subunit ribosomal RNA", at positions 338 to 795 of the family's 1533-position model. The record is from RNAcentral.
CCUACGGGAGGCAGCAGUGAGGAAUAUUGGUCAAUGGGCGGAAGCCUGAACCAGCCAAGUAGCGUGCAGGAUGACUGCCCUACGGGUUGUAAACUGCUUUUAUACGGGAAUAACGCGCCUUACGUGUAGGGCUUUGCAUGUACCGUAUGAAUAAGGACCGGCUAAUUCCGUGCCAGCAGCCGCGGUAAUACGGAAGGUCCGGGCGUUAUCCGGAUUUAUUGGGUUUAAAGGGAGCGUAGGCCGCAUGUCAAGUGAGUUGUGAAAGGUUCGGGCUCAACCGGGGCAUUGCAGCGGAUACUGGCGGGCUUGAGUCCGCGUGAGGCAGGCGGAAUUCGUGGUGUAGCGGUGAAAUGCUUAGAUAUGACGAAGAACCCCGAUUGCGAAGGCAGCCUGCUGCAGUGGAACUGACGCUGAUGCUCGAAAGUGCGGGUAUCGAACAGGAUUAGAUACCCGUGUAGUC